This 459-nucleotide ribosomal RNA is filed under the name uncultured bacterium. RNAcentral's name for it is "partial 16S ribosomal RNA". It matches the Rfam family "Bacterial small subunit ribosomal RNA", at positions 338 to 795 of the family's 1533-position model. The record is from RNAcentral.
CCUACGGGAGGCAGCAGUGAGGAAUAUUGGUCAAUGGCCGCGAGGCUGAACCAGCCAAGUCGCGUGAGGGAAGAAUGUCCUAUGGAUUGUACACCUCUUUUGUCAGGGAGCAAAGUAACCCACGCGUGGCGGUUGGAGAGUACCUGAAGAAAAAGCAUCGGCUAACUCCGUGCCAGCAGCCGCGGUAAUACGGAGGAUGCGAGCGUUAUCCGGAUUUAUUGGGUUUAAAGGGUGCGUAGGCGGGAGAUCAAGUCAGCGGUAAAAUCGUGGAGCUCAACUUCAUCCAGCCGUUGAAACUGAUUAUCUUGAGUGAGCGAGAAGUAUGCGGAAUGCGUGGUGUAGCGGUGAAAUGCAUAGAUAUCACGCAGAACUACGAUUGCGAAGGCAGCAUACCGGCUCCCAACUGACGCUGAAGCACGAAAGCGUGGGUAUCGAACAGGAUUAGAUACCCGAGUAGUC